RNAcentral lists this ribosomal RNA (449 nucleotides) under uncultured bacterium. RNAcentral's name for it is "bacterial SSU rRNA". It matches the Rfam family "Bacterial small subunit ribosomal RNA", at positions 354 to 796 of the family's 1533-position model. The record is from RNAcentral.
GUGGGGAAUUGUUCGCAAUGGGCGCAAGCCUGACGACGCAACGCCGCGUGGAGGAUGAAGGUCUUCGGAUUGUAAACUCCUGUUGAUCGGGACGAAAAGCUCCAACCCAAUACGUUGGAGACUGACGGUACCGGUUGAGGAAGCCACGGCUAACUCUGUGCCAGCAGCCGCGGUAAUACAGAGGUGGCAAGCGUUGUUCGGAAUUACUGGGCGUAAAGGGCGCGUAGGCGGCCUCCUAAGUCGGACGUGAAAGCCCCAGGCUUAACCUGGGAACUGCGUCUGAUACUGGGAGGCUUGGAUUCGGGAGAGGGAUGUGGAAUUCCAGGUGUAGCGGUGAAAUGCGUAGAUAUCUGGAGGAACACCGGUGGCGAAGGCGGCAUCCUGGACCGAGAUCGACGCUGAGGCGCGAAAGCUAGGGGAGCAAACGGGAUUAGAAACCCCGGUAGUCC